RNAcentral lists this long non-coding RNA (284 nucleotides) under Sinocyclocheilus anshuiensis. RNAcentral's name for it is "lncRNA (ENSSANG00000004873.1)". The record is from RNAcentral. Lineage: Eukaryota; Metazoa; Chordata; Actinopteri; Cypriniformes; Cyprinidae.
AUCUUCAGGGAGCAUGGAGCGCCUUCCACAGACUGAGCUCCCUCUCUUGGUCCCUUGACCCGACUGAGGGCUGGGACGGGCCAAAGAGCAGGCAGCCCCACAGCACGGCCGCCUGGAUAAUCCGUGUGGGCCGGGGAUCUGGCUUCCCCAGCAGGAGACGGCCCAGGGGUUCGGGUGUCACGGGCCGGGGAGGACGUGGCCGGGCCAGAAUGAAGAAUGGAGUCCCUCCAAUACCUACACCAGGAAUAAACAUCAUGGAACCCAUUUGCACAUUUAAGGAAGAG